AUUCCAUUCUCUUGUCACUCGUAGCAUAUUUUCAUUUGCUUUAAAUACGCUUGACAAUACAUAUGCCAAGUAUGGAACUUUGGUUGCUUCUCACAAUGUAUUUGAAUACAUGAAAGAACGGGACAACUUCUUCUGGAAAGUAGUAAUUGUGGCUUACCAAAGAUAUGGGUAUCCUGACUUCUUCUUCUGGAAAUGCAAUCAACAAGUGUCCAAAGUGAUGCAUGCACCUUCUCCACUAUACUCCCAGCCUGUGCCAAAAUAAGAGCCUUGAAGUAGGGUAUAGGCAUCCAUCAAAGCAUAGUGGAAAGGGGAUUUUUAUCUUAUGAUGUAGUUGCAAAUGCCUUGAUAGACAUGUACGCAAAACGUGCAAGAUUUCUCUCAUUUAUUUCCCUAUUUAUUUCUGUUUGUAAAUGUGUCUCCUGUUUUCUAGGUGCUCACUAUGAUUCUCCCCUAUGUUUGUGUGUUCAGGAAACAUCAUCACUGGAUGCCUGCACCUUUUUUAUUGCCAUAUUUAUUUUGUGUGGGACGAAGCAUUAAUUUUCUGAAGUGUAACAUACGGCAAUGGCUUAUGGCUCGAGCAGUUAAAUAACAUUAUUAGUUUUGACAAUAUUAUUAUUGUUAUCAUCAUUGUAAAUAACUUGAUUUCCAAUUUUUAAAAUUAUUGCACAUUAAUAAGUACUAAUGAUAUUUUUCACAUGUUAAAAUGAUUUGUUAAAAUAAUUUUUUUAUAUU
Long non-coding RNA from Cryptomeria japonica (Japanese cedar), 732 nucleotides. RefSeq lists it as uncharacterized. Lineage: Eukaryota; Viridiplantae; Streptophyta; Pinopsida; Cupressales; Cupressaceae. The transcript has 2 exons. The record is from RefSeq and is a predicted model, not a curated record.